CCCAACUAUCCCUAUUAAUCAUUACAUCGAUCCUAGAAACCAACAAAAUAGAAUCAAACGUCCUAUUUCGUUAUUCCAUGCUAAUGUAUUUAAGCGUGAGCCUGCUUUAAACACUCUAAUUUUUUCAAAGUAACAGUCCUGAUUUCCCAAGACACCAAAUUAAUGACAUCAUGGUUCGUCAGAAGAUAGGAAUCAAUAAAACCAGUACGUACGAUAGCACGACCAGUAAAUUAAUCCCGAAAUUCAACUACGAGCUUUUUAACUGCAACAAUUUUAAUAUACGCUAUUGGAGCUGGAAUUACCGCGGCUGCUGGCACCAGACUUGCCCUCCAA
This 333-nucleotide unclassified non-coding RNA is filed under the name uncultured Glomeraceae. Its description in RNAcentral is "sequence contains 18S rRNA gene". The record is from RNAcentral. Lineage: Eukaryota; Fungi; Glomeromycota; Glomeromycetes; Glomerales; Glomeraceae.